GUGAAGGUGAUCUGGUUGUGACAUCUGUCACCGCAUUGAUUGCCAGGGAUGGUUUGGCUAAUCUGGUCAACUAGGUGGGUGCCCCAUUCUUCCCUCACCCUCCUGAAGCUGCAAACUCAGUGGAAGAAGACAACCAUCCCAGACAGAAGGAGUGCACCCUUUGGUCAAGGGUAUAUGAAUCACACACUGGUAACUUCCAGAUUACACUACUGUAGUGUGUUGUCCGUGGAGUUGCCUUUAAAAAUGAUCUGUAAAAUGCAGUUUAGAAAAAAAGGUCCUCAGUUACU
RNAcentral lists this small nuclear RNA (287 nucleotides) under Pogona vitticeps (central bearded dragon). RNAcentral's name for it is "7SK RNA (ENSPVIG00000013619.1)". It matches the Rfam family "7SK RNA". Rfam says of the family: 7SK was discovered as an abundant small nuclear RNA in the mid-70s but a possible function has only recently been suggested. Two independent studies have found that 7SK RNA binds the CDK9/cyclin T complex (known as elongation factor P-TEFb). The record is from Rfam by way of RNAcentral. Lineage: Eukaryota; Metazoa; Chordata; Lepidosauria; Squamata; Agamidae.